GCCAGUAGAAUGAACGUGUCUUACUUCCUGCUUGUUUGGUGUAUGACAGUCGGGAAACGGGAUUUUCUUUUCCUUUUCUGGCAGGAUUUGGACAGAGUGAAGCUCUAGGAUUCCCAGGACCUGUGACCACUCCGAGCCCCAGAAACAAGCCAGGGUGUUGCAAAUUGGAGACUGGUGUCCAGAUGUAUGAAGGACUCUAAAAACUCA
This is a long non-coding RNA of Myotis brandtii (Brandt's bat), 207 nucleotides long. RefSeq lists it as uncharacterized. NCBI's taxonomy places the organism in Eukaryota, Metazoa, Chordata, Mammalia, Chiroptera, Vespertilionidae. The record is from RefSeq and is a predicted model, not a curated record. The transcript is spliced from 2 exons.